GUACUUGCUUUGGCAGUACAUAUACUAAAAUUGGAACAAUACGAGAUUAACAUGGCCUCUGGGCAAGGAUGACAUUCAAAUUUGUGAAGCGUUCCAUAUUUAA
Myotis davidii is the source of this 103-nucleotide non-coding RNA. The record is from Rfam. NCBI's taxonomy places the organism in Eukaryota, Metazoa, Chordata, Mammalia, Chiroptera, Vespertilionidae.